UGAGAUUUAGGCGCAACUUCACGCAAC
Molecule: small RNA, 27 nt
Filed under: Bombyx mori (domestic silkworm)
Lineage: Eukaryota; Metazoa; Arthropoda; Insecta; Lepidoptera; Bombycidae
Description: piRNA piR-bmo-1702938
Source: RNAcentral